This 650-nucleotide ribosomal RNA is filed under the name Bacillus cereus. RNAcentral describes it as "bacterial SSU rRNA". It matches the Rfam family "Bacterial small subunit ribosomal RNA", at positions 163 to 798 of the family's 1533-position model. Lineage: Bacteria; Bacillati; Bacillota; Bacilli; Caryophanales; Bacillaceae. The record is from RNAcentral.
CUAAUACCGGAUAAGAUUUUGAACUGCAUGGUUCGAAAUUGAAAGGCGGCUUCGGCUGUCACUUAUGGAUGGACCCGCGUCGCAUUAGCUAGUUGGUGAGGUAACGGCUCACCAAGGCAACGAUGCGUAGCCGACCUGAGAGGGUGAUCGGCCACACUGGGACUGAGACACGGCCCAGACUCCUACGGGAGGCAGCAGUAGGGAAUCUUCCGCAAUGGACGAAAGUCUGACGGAGCAACGCCGCGUGAGUGAUGAAGGCUUUCGGGUCGUAAAACUCUGUUGUUAGGGAAGAACAAGUGCUAGUUGAAUAAGCUGGCACCUUGACGGUACCUAACCAGAAAGCCACGGCUAACUACGUGCCAGCAGCCGCGGUAAUACGUAGGUGGCAAGCGUUAUCCGGAAUUAUUGGGCGUAAAGCGCGCGCAGGUGGUUUCUUAAGUCUGAUGUGAAAGCCCACGGCUCAACCGUGGAGGGUCAUUGGAAACUGGGAGACUUGAGUGCAGAAGAGGAAAGUGGAAUUCCAUGUGUAGCGGUGAAAUGCGUAGAGAUAUGGAGGAACACCAGUGGCGAAGGCGACUUUCUGGUCUGUAACUGACACUGAGGCGCGAAAGCGUGGGGAGCAAACAGGAUUAGAUACCCUGNUAGUCCAC